CUCGUAGGUGGCCAACUAAGUCAGACGUGAAAUCCCCCGGCUUAACCGGGGAAUUGCAUCUGAUACUGGUUGGCUUGAGUUCGGGAGAGGGAUGCGGAAUUCCAGGUGUAGCGGUGAAAUGCGUAGAUAUCUGGAGGAACACCGGUGGCGAAGGCGGCAUCCUGGACCGACACUGACGCUGAGGAGCGAAAGCCAGGGGAGCAAACG
RNAcentral lists this ribosomal RNA (207 nucleotides) under uncultured bacterium. RNAcentral describes it as "partial 16S ribosomal RNA". It matches the Rfam family "Bacterial small subunit ribosomal RNA", at positions 568 to 774 of the family's 1533-position model. The record is from RNAcentral.